CUUAAGCAUAUCAAUAAGCGGAGGAAAAGAAACUAACAAGGAUUCCCCUAGUAACUGCGAGUGAAGCGGGAAAAGCUCAAAUUUAAAAUCUGGCGGUCUCUGGCCGUCCGAGUUGUAAUCUAGAGAAGUAAUGCCCGUGCUGGACCGUGUAUAAGUCUCCUGGGAUGGGGCGUCAUAGAGGGUGAGAAUCCCGUCUUUGACACGGACUACCAGUGCAUUGUGGUAUGCUCUCAAAGAGUCGAGUUGUUUGGGAAUGCAGCUCAAAAUGGGUGGUAAAUUCCAUCUAAAGCUAAAUACUGGCGAGAGACCGAUAGCGAACAAGUACCGUGAGGGAAAGAUGAAAAGAACUUUGGAAAGAGAGUUAAACAGUACGUGAAAUUGCUGAAAGGGAAACGCUUGAAGUCAGUCGCGUUGGCCGGAAAUCAGCCUUGCUUUUGCCUGGUGUACUUUCUGGUUGACGGGUCAGCAUCAAUUUUGACCACUGGAAAAGGCUCAAGGGAAUGUGGCAGCUUCGGCUGUGUUAUAGCCCUUGUUCAUAUACAGUGGUUGGGAUUGAGGAACUCAGCACGCCGCAAGGCCGGGUUUCGACCACGUUCGUGCUUAGGAUGCUGGCAUAAUGGCUUUAAGCGACCCGUCUUGAAAACACGG
Molecule: ribosomal RNA, 648 nt
Filed under: Agaricus gratolens
Lineage: Eukaryota; Fungi; Basidiomycota; Agaricomycetes; Agaricales; Agaricaceae
Description: partial large subunit ribosomal RNA
Rfam family: Eukaryotic large subunit ribosomal RNA
Source: RNAcentral